This 468-nucleotide ribosomal RNA is filed under the name uncultured bacterium. RNAcentral describes it as "partial 16S ribosomal RNA". It matches the Rfam family "Bacterial small subunit ribosomal RNA", at positions 28 to 507 of the family's 1533-position model. The record is from RNAcentral.
GACGAACGCUGGCGGCGUGCUUAACACAUGCAAGUCGAACGGAAAGGCCCUGCUUUUGUGGGGUGCUCGAGUGGCGAACGGGUGAGUAACACGUGAGUAACCUGCCCUUGACUUUGGGAUAACUUCAGGAAACUGGGGCUAAUAUCGGAUAGGAGCUCCUGCAGCAUGGUGGGGGUUGGAAAGUUUCGGCGGUUGGGGAUGGACUCGCGGCUUAUCAGCUUGUUGGUGGGGUAGUGGUUUACCAAGGCUUUGACGGGUAGCCGGCCUGAGAGGGUGACCGGCCACAUUGGGACUGAGGUACGGCCCAGACUGCUACGGUAGGCAGCAGUGGGGAAUAUUGCACAAUGGGCGGAAGCCUGAUGCAGCGACGCCGCGUGCGGGAAGACGGCCUUCGGGUUGUAAACCGCUUUCGCCUGUGACGAAGCGGGAGUGACGGUAAUGGGUAAAGAAGCACCGGCUAACUACGUG